CCUACGGGGGGCAGCAGCAAGGAAUUUUCCACAAUGGGCGCAAGCCUGAUGGAGCAACGCCGCGUGCGGGAUGACGCCCUUCGGGGUGUAAACCGCUUUUCCGGGGGACGAAGGCAAUGACGGUACCCCGGGAAUAAGGAUCGGCUAACUACGUGCCAGCAGCCGCGGUAAGACGUAGGAUCCGAGCGUUGUCCGGAGUUACUGGGCGUAAAGGGCGCGCAGGCGGUCAGUCGCAUCGGCGGUGAAAGCCCCCCGCUCAACGGGGGAGGGUCCGUCGAGAUGGGCUGACUGGAGGCAGGGAGAGGCCAGUGGAAUUCCGGGUGUAGUGGUGAAAUGCGUAGAGAUCCGGAGGAACACCAGUGGCGAAGGCGGCUGGCUGGACCUGACCUGACGCUGAGGCGCGAAGGCGUGGGGAGCGAACGGGAUUAGAUACCCCGGUA
Molecule: ribosomal RNA, 440 nt
Filed under: uncultured bacterium
Lineage: Bacteria
Description: bacterial SSU rRNA
Rfam family: Bacterial small subunit ribosomal RNA
Source: RNAcentral